Long non-coding RNA from Myiozetetes cayanensis, 723 nucleotides. RefSeq lists it as uncharacterized. The record is from RefSeq and is a predicted model, not a curated record. NCBI's taxonomy places the organism in Eukaryota, Metazoa, Chordata, Aves, Passeriformes, Tyrannidae. The transcript is spliced from 4 exons.
GUGGCAACUCCACAGUGAUCCGUGGUUCUGGAGUCCUGUCCCUGGAUUAUCACAACUUACUGAACACGUAGUUGGUCUGGGCCAGGGAGGCCCUGCUUCUUCAUAGACAAUUCCCAUACAUGGGAUAAGGAUCUCUCAACCAAAUCUAAGCAGCCUCUCCUAAACAAGGGCUGAACUUCAAAACCUUGUGAGACUAUUUAUAGGAGGCAGUAGGGAUUCUGUUCCUUCAACAAGAAAACCAAAGAUAUAAAAUAUGGCAAAGGAGCCUGACAUGCAGAAGGUGGACACAGGGAGACAGAACGAGUGUAGAUCAUUACAGGAACCACAGAGGACGAAGCUGUGAGUGAUGGCACCGUAAUGGAAAGGCGGGAGUGUGACAGCGGGGACUGAGCCACCGCUCAGAGACACCCAGGGAAACCAACCCAUCCCAUAACUCAUCAUUGAUCCCACUUCUGAUCCGACCUCGGAACACGCCUGCUUGCCUUUUAGGCUCACCACCUGUGACAUUCAUUGGAAAUUAAGCGGACAAGGUGAAAGUGUAAACCAACAAAAACAGACAUAUGGAUUGAAUAACCCUUCUGUGUUUCCUGUAUCUGUGUACACCUUCCCAUGUUAUCACCUCCUUUUAUAUCACGUCUUAUUAUAUAUAUUUCCAUAGCAUAAGAGCUCAAAACUAAGAUGAAAGCUCCACUGGCUCAGCACCAUCACAGGAGCCAAUUUCUG